AUGGAUAAACAAAUGAUAAAGCUUGGCUUAUUGAAUAUCAGAUCAAUUUCUACGAAAACACUUUUUGUAAAUAAUAUGAUAACUGAUCAUAAUAUAGAUGUGCUCUGUUUGACAGAAACUUGGCUAAAACCUGAUGAUUACAUUAUUUUAAAUGAGUCCACCCCCCAAGAUUACUGUUAUAAACAUGAGCCGCGUCUAAAAGGUAAAGGGGGAGGAGUUGCUUCAAUUUAUAACAACGUUUUCAGGAUUUCUCAGAGGGCAGGCUUCAAGUAUAACUCGUUUGAAGUAAUGGUGCUACAUAUAACAUUAUACAGAGAAACAAAUGUUAAUGAUAAAUCCCCUGUUAUGUUUGUACUGGCUACUGUAUACAGGCCACCAGGGCACCAUACAGACUUUAUUAAAGAGUUUGGUGAUUUUACAUCCGAGUUAGUUCUGGCUGCAGAUAAAGUUUUAAUAGUGGGUGAUUUUAAUAUCCAUGUCGAUAAUGAAAAAGAUGCAUUGGGAUCAGCAUUUAUAGACAUUCUGAACUCUACUGGUGUUAGACAACACGUUUCAGGACCUACUCAUUGUCGAAAUCAUACUCUAGAUUUAAUUCUGUCACAUGGAAUUGAUGUUGAUAGUGUUGAAAUUAUUCAGCCAAGUGAUGAUAUCUCAGAUCAUUAUUUAGUUCUGUGCAAACUUUAUAUAGCCAAAAUUGUCAAUUCUACUUCUUGUUACAAGUAUCGAAGAACCAUCACUUCUACCACAAAAGACUGCUUUUUAAGUAAUCUUCCUGAUGUAUCCAAAUUCCUUAUCAUAUCCAAAACCUCAGAACAACUUGAUGAUGUAACAGAAACUAUGGACUCUCUUUUUUCUAGCACUUUAAAUACAGUUGCUCCUGUACGCUUAAGGAAGGUUAAAGAAAACAGUUCGACACCAUGGUAUAAUGAGCAUACUCGCACCCUAAAGAGAGCAGCCCGAAAAAUGGAGCGCAGCUGGAGGAAAACAAAACUAGAGGUAUUUCAUAUUGCUUGGCGGGAAAGUAGCAUAUCCUACAGAAAAGCAUUAAAAACUGCUAGAUCUGAUUACUUUUCUUCUCUUUUAGAAGAAAACAAACAUAACCUCAGGUAUUUAUUCAAUACAGUGGCUAAAUUAACGAAACAUAAAGCCUCAACAAGUGUUGACAUUUCCCAACACCACAGCAGUAAUGACUUUAUGAACUACUUUACUUCUAAAAUGUAUACUAUUAGAGAUAAAAUUGUAACCAUUCAGCCGUCAGCUACAGUAUCGCAUCAGACAGUGCACUAUAGACCCCCUGAGGAACAGUUCCACUCAUUCUCUACUAUAGGAGAGGAAGAAUUGUAUAAACUUGUUAAAUCAUCUAAACCAACAACAUGUAUGUUAGACACUAUACCAUCUAAGCUCCUAAAAGAGGUGCUUCCAGAAGUCAUAGAUCCUCUUGGGACUAUUAUUAAUUCCUAA
RNAcentral lists this long non-coding RNA (1461 nucleotides) under Carassius auratus (goldfish). RNAcentral describes it as "lncRNA (ENSCARG00000061242.1)". Lineage: Eukaryota; Metazoa; Chordata; Actinopteri; Cypriniformes; Cyprinidae. The record is from RNAcentral.